Molecule: ribosomal RNA, 428 nt
Filed under: Verrucomicrobiota bacterium
Lineage: Bacteria; Pseudomonadati; Verrucomicrobiota
Description: Verrucomicrobia bacterium partial 16S ribosomal RNA
Rfam family: Bacterial small subunit ribosomal RNA
Source: RNAcentral
UAGGGAAUAUUCCACAAUGAGCGAAAGCUUGAUGGAGCGACACAGCGUGCACGAUGAAGGUCUUCGGAUUGUAAAGUGCUGUUAUAAGGGAAGAACAUUUGCAAUAGGAAAUGAUUGCAGACUGACGGUACCUUGUCAGAAAGCGAUGGCUAACUAUGUGCCAGCAGCCGCGGUAAUACAUAGGUCGCAAGCGUUAUCCGGAAUUAUUGGGCGUAAAGCGUUCGUAGGCUGUUUGUUAAGUCUGGAGUUAAAUCCCGGGGCUCAACCCCGGCUCGCUUUGGAUACUAGCAAACUAGAGUUAGAUAGAGGUAAGCGGAAUUCCAUGUGAAGCGGUGAAAUGCGUAGAGAUUAGGAGGAACACCGGUGGCGAAAGCGGCUUUUUGGCCUGCAACUGACACUGAGGCGCGAAAGCGUGGGGAGCAAACAGG